UACGUAGGGUGCAAGCGUUGUCCGGAAUUAUUGGGCGUAAAGAGCUCGUAGGCGGUUCGUCGCGUCGGCUGUGAAAUCCCGAGGCUCAACCUCGGGUCUGCAGUCGAUACGGGCGGACUGGAGUUCGGCAGGGGAGACUGGAAUUCCUGGUGUAGCGGUGAAAUGCGCAGAUAUCAGGAGGAACACCGGUGGGGAAGGCGGGUCUCGGGGCCGAUACUGACGCUGAGGAGCGAAAGCGUGGGGAGCGAACAGG
Molecule: ribosomal RNA, 253 nt
Filed under: uncultured bacterium
Lineage: Bacteria
Description: partial 16S ribosomal RNA
Rfam family: Bacterial small subunit ribosomal RNA
Source: RNAcentral